AGUUUUCGGACAACUGAUUCAGAGGACAGUGGCGGACGGGUGAGUAACGCGUGAGGAACCUGCCUUUCAGAGGGGGACAACAGUUGGAAACGACUGCUAAUACCGCAUAAGACCACAGCCUCGCAUGGGGCAGGGGUCAAAGGAUUUAUCCGCUGAAAGAUGGGCUCGCGUCCGAUUAGCUAGAUGGUGAGGUAACGGCCCACCAUGGCGACGAUCGGUAGCCGGACUGAGAGGUUGAACGGCCACAUUGGGACUGAGACACGGCCCAGACUCC
RNAcentral lists this ribosomal RNA (274 nucleotides) under uncultured Eubacteriales bacterium. RNAcentral's name for it is "uncultured Clostridiales bacterium partial 16S ribosomal RNA". It matches the Rfam family "Bacterial small subunit ribosomal RNA", at positions 67 to 339 of the family's 1533-position model. The record is from RNAcentral. Lineage: Bacteria; Bacillati; Bacillota; Clostridia; Eubacteriales.